CUAGGUCGCCCACCAGUAUAAUGCGGGAAUACUUUCUGUUCUAGGUCGCCCACCAGUAUAAUGCGGGAAUACUUUCUGUUCUAGGUCGCCCACCAGUAUAAUGCGGGAAUACUUUCUGUUCUAGGUCGCCCACCAGUAUAAUGCGGGAAUACAUCCAUGUUCUAGGUUGCCCACCAGUAUAAUGCGAGAAUACUUUUUGUUCUAGGUCGCCCACCAGUAUAAUGCGGGAAUACAUUCAUGUUCUAGGUCGCCCACCAGUAUAAUGCGGGAAUACUUUCUGUUCUAGGUUGCCCACCAGUAUAAUGCGGGAAUACAUUCAUGUUCUAGGCCGCCCACCAGUAUAAUGCGGGAAUACUUUCUGUUCUAGGUCGCCCACCAGUAUAAUGCG
RNAcentral lists this long non-coding RNA (388 nucleotides) under Nicotiana tabacum (common tobacco). RNAcentral's name for it is "long non-coding RNA (NTAB_LNC002666)". The record is from RNAcentral. Lineage: Eukaryota; Viridiplantae; Streptophyta; Magnoliopsida; Solanales; Solanaceae.